This 779-nucleotide long non-coding RNA is filed under the name Homo sapiens (human). Its description in RNAcentral is "non-protein coding lnc-SPINK5-3:1". Lineage: Eukaryota; Metazoa; Chordata; Mammalia; Primates; Hominidae. The record is from RNAcentral.
CUCUCUCUGGACUCCUUGGCUCAGAGCAGCAUAUCUCCAUCAUUGGCAUUCACCAUCACUAUGAAGGGCUUCACUGCUUUUGCCAUCCUUGGUCUAGCAGUCACUGCUUGGGCUACCUCGCCAUAUGGCAAGUCAGGGUUUCUUUCCAAUAGUCACGCGUUUAUGUUAACUGUAAUAUAUUCAGCCUUCAUUAAAUUAUAAAUGUUAAUGUCUAAAGAAAAUUUAGAAGGCAUCUGUUUGAAUUGGCCUGAUUAACAAAAGUGAGUUGAGUCAGAUCUUUAGUGUGAGGAAGAGAGACUGAGGAGAGGGAUAAAAGGAUUGUGGCUGUAUGUUCCAUUCCUGAGCAGGAUCCCUCAGGUUUAUGACUUGCCCUUUCAGAAACAACCUAUAAAGCUUUGGGACCAUAACCCAUGCCAUCCUACUCAGAGGAUGCCCACAGGAACUCCUGGACAUCUGUGACAGUCCUUUCUCAAUAAACAGAGCUUUCCCCACUGGAUUUUUUUUUUUUUUUAAAUCAGAGCCACAUGCAUGUCUAUCUUCAUCCUGAGUUUGGACUUGCAUGAAGAAAUGGCCUCUUUUAGGGCUGGGCUGGGCAAGGACUAUUGCUGGGAAAUGGGUUUUGGUUACCAUGAACAAUGGGGAUUUAGCUUUGCACUUCUAACUGUGCAAUUUGUUCUUUCUCCAACUGCUCCUCUUCAACUGAUUCUUGCUUCGCUCUCUUCUGGUGAUCAAACAAAAGGGACAAAGGUGAGUGCAACCUUCUCUGUGUGGUAUUUGUA